Molecule: small nucleolar RNA, 136 nt
Organism: Podarcis muralis (Common wall lizard)
Lineage: Eukaryota; Metazoa; Chordata; Lepidosauria; Squamata; Lacertidae
Product: small nucleolar RNA SNORA29
Source: Ensembl
CUUCCCAUUUGACUACCAUUUAUUUGCAUUGCAAAAUAAGUGGCUAUGCUUAUGGGAUAAAUAAAUGACUGCCAAAGGUCUGAAGGAGAAUAUUGACAAUGUAUUCAUCCUAUAUGAAAUGGCAGUACAUACUCUU